Molecule: long non-coding RNA, 446 nt
Organism: Vicia villosa (hairy vetch)
Lineage: Eukaryota; Viridiplantae; Streptophyta; Magnoliopsida; Fabales; Fabaceae
Exons: 2
Source: RefSeq, a predicted model, not a curated record
GCGUUAGUAGCGCUCUGUUAUGAUUGGUACUCGAUGAGAGCCUGAAGACACAAUUAUUGGGUUGUUGCGGUUCUGCUUGGGGCAGUUGAUGUACCAGGUGCAGUGAGCCAAGUUUUGGUUUAUUACUUUGAAGACAUAUGGAGAAGGUUGGAAGGGAUAUGGCUUGGAGCUUAAGCAAAGACAUGUACUAAUCAAAGGAGGCCAACACAAAAUAGAUGGGAGAACUAGGAAUAAUAGGCUAAGAAGAAAUUUUGUAUAGUUGAGAUAUCGAAACUUGUAAAUGAACUUCUUAUUUGUGUUUGAAUUUGGACUUUUGGUAUGGCCAUGAACUUGAAUAAUGCUAGUUUUUUUUUGUAAAUUUUGUUGUAAUGUAUUUGCAAUGAGAGGUAAUGGAUAUGUAAUGACUUUUGAUGAUUGAAUUUGAGUAAUAUGAUUUUUUAUAUGGA